GGAACGGAAAUGGACAAUUACUUAACAUUAAAGUAUAUGGAAAUGUCACUCAUAGAUAAAAUGCUAGGAUCAUAUAUGAUCAUUUGGAUACUUAUGAAACAUUCACAUAAAGGAGAACUGAUUAAAGUGGUUUAUCCAAUAUCACGUGUCACAACUUCAUAACAUAGAGUUAUCCUAAUCAAAGUGUUUUGCAGCGGAAAACGUGUGAGAUAUACAUAUGAAGAUGUAUACUCAAGGUUACAUUUCUUGAAAUGAUCAAAGGAACACCCGCUCAACACCAUUCCAUUCCAUCAGCUACUCAACCUGCACAUUUAGAAAUACAUGCAGGGCUGAGUAUAAAAUACUCAGUGGCAAAUGCCGAAAAUACAAUCAUGCAUACAUAUAUAAAUUGAACUGCCAUAACAGUAACACACAGGGGUUUUCUUGAAAGACCUGCGCUUACUAAAACAUUUCUUUCAUUUUCAUAAAUCGACGGCCGACAUUUUCCUUCAUAGAUCCAUAUCUGUUCCUUUCUGUCACGCGCCGGGAAGGAGGCCUCCUUACCACGGACGCCAAGACCGGUCGCAAGCGACUCGCGGUCUCCAUGAGUGUACACGUUAACCCUAGCUAGCGACCUUUGUCUAGCAUAGGAUCCCAAUUGGAUUUCCUUUAAAGUUGGCGAACCAACACAGAUAGGAUACAUACAAAACAUAAACAUUUUGGCAGUCAAUCAUUUCAUAAACAUUUCAUUUCAUUUCAUAACAUUCAUUUUCAUUUCAUAAGAGUCAUUUAUCAUUUGGCAUUAUAAAAUGAAAUUAACAGUUAAAAUCAUCUCAUGCAUAUAUUCGUAUAAGAGGCCUACGACACGCAGGGGAUCUCUAUAUACGUAUAGUAAAAGUAAUGCCCACCUGGAUAGGCAAAGCCUGAAGAUUAUAAUCACAUAAACUCGUCUUGGGAAAGCAGCGCUAAUCCCCUUGGUUCAUAAAGCCUACAAGAAAUUUUAUUCUUAAUAGGUCUCGUGAAGCUAACUUAAAGUCUUAGUGGAUGUACUAAACAUACUUGAUUCAUCACGCCGGGUUUUCAAAUUUAAUAAUAAAAAUUGAAAGCUAAUUCUUGAGCUAAGGACACCAACAAUAUCCUUACUCGAUUUUCUUUUAUUAAUUGAAUUUAUAAAUAAAUCCAAUUAAAUCAUAAAACUUUCUAUUGCAUAAUGCAAAUGCAAUUUCAUGUCAUGCUUAAAACAUAUAAUAAGUACUUACUUAAAAUAUGCACAUAAUAAUAAUAUGAUAUUAUUAUGAAAACUAGUCUUUGAAAAUAAUUAAUCAAACUCAAAGAAGUCUAAUUAAUUAAAUAUGGACUGCCAAAUAAUAAAUGUAAGGCCAUCUUCAAAAAAUUCGCAGUCCACAUAAAUAAACAAAGGCCCAAUACUUGAAUAAAACUAAACCCAAGCAUGUAAAUAAAUAAAUGACUACAGCCCAAGCCUCGGCCCAAAACUCAAUUAAAAUCGGCCCACUUCCUAAAAAAAAACAGCCCAUCUUUGGGCCCAACCCUAAACUACCACUCUUCACUUAUCACACCACACACACACAUCACACGCAGCAGCUGCGCUGCCCACACUCCCUCCCUCUUCUCCUUUCUCCGGCGACGGUAGGCGUCGCCGGACACGCCGCCGUCCCCGACGUACCCUCUCCCUCUCCUACUGAACUCUCCUAUCUCCCUCAAACAGACGUCCAUCACCUCCAUAUAUCUCUCUUCACGUCGGAAGUCCGCCGCCGCGGAGACUCGCCGGGAAAACAACGGCGACACCCUCGGUUCUCCCUCUCUUUCGGACCUCCGGUGAUUUCAGCAGCGAUCAGCCGCUGCCCCACCUUCUAUUUGUGCAGAAUCCGACGGCCGCCGCAGCUGAAGCUAGCCACCGUCGAUCUGCCCUUCUCCCUUGAAUCUCCGGCCACCGCCCGUAGAUUAGGCGACGCCACUUCUGACUCUCUCGACUCCGGCAGUAGCAGCUUUCGUAGCCACCACCACCGCCGUCGUCCUCCGCCGAACAGCCCCGCUGUCCAGCCGCUCACCACCAUCUCAGCCCCGACCAUCUCUCUCAAACCUUUUUCCCUCGCUCGUUCUUCUCUGUUAACGGAAACAGGACAGCAGACGCCCCGCCGUGGUGCGCCGCCGCCUUUCGUUCGCCGGAAAAGUAAAACCCUAAACUUUCUACUUCCUCUUUCUUUUAAUCUCUCAUUUCUAAUAAAAACUAGAUAUCUCCCCCUUUUUUUUUUUCGUACAGGUUGGAGUCAACGGCGGGUCUGCCGCCGCCACGCCAUCACCGGCGAGCUUCCCGGGCCGCCGACUUCUGCCCUCGACACUCACACACAUACACAUGGGCUUAGCACAAAAAUUUAACCACAAUUAAAAGUAGGAUUAGGGCAGAUUUGUAUUACUAAACUGUAAAUUGUUUAAUGACAAUUUCUUAUUAAAGCUUCUAGAUCUGUAAAUUAUUAUUCUUCCUUCAGUUAUCUGUACAGUAAUUUCAAUUCAAGAACAACUCAUAACGUAUUCAUAGUUAUGUGAAUUCUCGUGUGUGUUGGUGGUGCUCUGAACGUGUCUUGUAUGGAUCAUAAAAAAAAUAAUGAUAAUGGAACAUUGAAAUAUAGAUUUUCAGUAUAGGAAAAACCUUGAGAUAUGAGGGAUGUAUAUUGUGAAUUUGUUGUUUCUGCAGAAUAAGUAAUCACCAACACAUUAGUAGUGGAUGAGGUGAAACAGUUUGUGAAAGGAGGAACAUUAAAUCCUUACCCCCUUCUUGAUCGAAAGCAGCGUGACUUGAGGAGAGAAAGGAAGUGGUGAUUGAUCUAUACUUUGAGGGUUAUUUAGAGGAGUAGUUGGGUGGGAGUAGCUGAAAGUGGGAGGAAA
Molecule: long non-coding RNA, 2883 nt
Filed under: Salvia miltiorrhiza (redroot sage)
Lineage: Eukaryota; Viridiplantae; Streptophyta; Magnoliopsida; Lamiales; Lamiaceae
Description: long non-coding RNA (SMIL_LNC006453)
Source: RNAcentral